Molecule: regulatory RNA element, 95 nt
Rfam family: SAM-I/IV (S-adenosyl methionine) riboswitch aptamer
About the family: It is found upstream of a number of genes which code for proteins involved in methionine or cysteine biosynthesis. It has been found mostly in the order Actinomycetales.
Source: Rfam
GAGCGGCAUCAAGAAGGGUAUUCACCCGCCAACCGCCCGCUCCGGGAACGGUGGACCAAAGAUGCGCCAGACCACUGGAACACAUAGGAGCCCCC